GGUGAAGAUGCCGUGUACCCGCGGCUAGACGGAAAGACCCCGUGAACCUUUACUAUAGCUUCGCACUGGACUUUGACUUGGUUUGUGUAGGAUAGGUGGGAGACUUUGAAGCGGAGGCGCUAGCCUUCGUGGAGUCGUCCUUGAAAUACCACCCUGGCCAAUUUGGGGUUCUAACUCAGGUCCAUGAUCUGGAUCGAGGACAGUGUGUGGUGGGUAGUUUGACUGGGGCGGUCUCCUCCCAAAGAGUAACGGAGGAGCACGAAGGUACACUCAGCAUGGUCGGAAAUCAUGCAGUGCGUGUAAAGGCAGAAGUGUGCUUGACUGCGAGGCUGACGGGCCGAGCAGGGUCGAAAGACGGUCUUAGUGAUCCGGUGGUUCUGUAUGGAAGGGCCAUCGCUCAACGGAUAAAAGGUACUCCGGGGAUAACAGGCUGAUACCGCCCAAGAGUUCACAUCGACGGCGGUGUUUGGCACCUCGAUGUCGGCUCAUCACAUCCUGGGGCUGUAGCCGGUCCCAAGGGUAUGGCUGUUCGCCAUUUAAAGUGGUACGCGAGCUGGGUUUAGAACGUCGUGAGACAGUUCGGUCCCUAUCUGCCGUGGGCGUUGGAAACUUGAGGGGAGCUUCUCCUAGUACGAGAGGACCGGAGUGGACGAACCUCUGGUGUUCCGGUUGUCACGCCAGUGGCAUUGCCGGGUAGCUAUGUUCGGACGGGAUAACCGCUGAAAGCAUCUAAGCGGGAAGCCCACCUCAAGAUGAGAUCUCACCAAAUCAUUCCGAUUUCUGAAGGGCCCUCGAAGACUACGAGGUUGAUAGGCAGGGUGUGUAAGCGCUGCGAGGCGUUGAGCUAACCUGUACUAAUUGCCCGUGCGGCUUGACCAUAUAA
RNAcentral lists this ribosomal RNA (883 nucleotides) under Gammaproteobacteria bacterium. RNAcentral describes it as "partial 23S ribosomal RNA". It matches the Rfam family "Bacterial large subunit ribosomal RNA", at positions 2052 to 2925 of the family's 2925-position model. Lineage: Bacteria; Pseudomonadati; Pseudomonadota; Gammaproteobacteria. The record is from RNAcentral.